CCAUCCGCAGGUCCACCGCCGUGGCAGCAGCUACACCAUCCUCCCAUCUACCGUUGCGGCUGCCUCCCCUCCCUGCGGAAGGCCGUCCUUCCGCCUGCAUCUUCCUCACCACUUGCGUAGUGCCGGUCUCUGCCUCGCCACCCACCGGAGCACCAGCAUCUGCCCCCCACCAAGCUCCCGUACUUGUCCCCCCAUUCAGAUUUACACGUCUUCACCUCCGGCUGCCUGUACUCCUCUACUCGCUGCCUCACAAGUCCCCAUUCUCCAUAUCUCUGAAACAUCAGCGAACAGCUAGGGGAGUUGGCUGGCCACCCUUUUCGACGCCGUAAUUUCCCAGCUUGAACAAGUAUAUUGCGGGUUUUAAAAGAGGAGUUAGCUUCCAGCAAAGGAAGAUUUUUGGGCUUAAAAGUCAUGAUUACCAUAUCUUCAUGGAACGGCUGCUACCAGUUGCAUUUCGUGGCUUCAUUCCGGAGAAUAUAUGGUUAUGUUUGGCCGAGCUAAGCUUUUUCUA
Long non-coding RNA from Triticum dicoccoides, 511 nucleotides. RefSeq lists it as uncharacterized. Lineage: Eukaryota; Viridiplantae; Streptophyta; Magnoliopsida; Poales; Poaceae. The transcript is spliced from 3 exons. The record is from RefSeq and is a predicted model, not a curated record.